This 228-nucleotide long non-coding RNA is filed under the name Eucalyptus grandis. RNAcentral's name for it is "long non-coding RNA (EGRA_LNC006779)". Lineage: Eukaryota; Viridiplantae; Streptophyta; Magnoliopsida; Myrtales; Myrtaceae. The record is from RNAcentral.
GCGGCGAAGAAGAGGGGGGCGACGUUCGUGAUCAUCAGCUUCGAAGGAUUUCGACCAAAUUCUUCAAAUGGGCGACACCCACGUCAGGAGCCUGAGUAAAGACGAAAAAGAGGAACCGCCUUUAGGAGAUCGUGGCUGAGAGCGAGGAGGGAGUCUAGGGUUUCCCACGUGGAGAUUGGGUAUAUUGAAUUGUGGAGUCGGGCGGGAUCAUCAGCUUCGAGAGGGAGG